GAUGAACGCUAGCGGGAAGCCUAACACAUGCAAGCCGAGCGGUAUUGUUUCUUCGGAAAUGAGAGAGCGGCGUACGGGUGCGGAACACGUGUGCAACCUGCCUUUAUCUGGGGGAUAGCCUUUCGAAAGGAAGAUUAAUACUCCAUAAUAUAUUGAACGGCAUCGUUUAAUAUUGAAAGCUCCGGCGGAUAGAGAUGGGCACGCGCAAGAUUAGCUAGUUGGUGAGGUAACGGCUCACCAAGGCGAUGAUCUUUAGGGGGCCUGAGAGGGUGAUCCCCCACACUGGUACUGAGACACGGACCAGACUCCUACGGGAGGCAGCAGUGAGGAAUAUUGGUCAAUGGGUGCAAGCCUGAACCAGCCAUCCCGCGUGAAGGACGACUGCCCUAUGGGUUGUAAACUUCUUUUGUAUAGGGAUAAACCUACCCUCGUGAGGGUAGCUGAAGGUACUAUACGAAUAAGCACCGGCUAACUCCGUGCCAGCAGCCGCGGUAAUACGGAGGGUGCAAGCGUUAUCCGGAUUUAUUGGGUUUAAAGGGUCCGUAGGCGGACUUAUAAGUCAGUGGUGAAAGCCUGUCGCUUAACGAUAGAACUGCCAUUGAUACUGUAAGUCUUGAGUAUAUUUGAGGUAGCUGGAAUAAGUAGUGUAGCGGUGAAAUGCAUAGAUAUUACUUAGAACACCAAUUGCGAAGGCAGGUUACCAAGAUAUAACUGACGCUGAGGGACGAAAGCGUGGGGAGCGAACAGGAUUAGAUACCCUGGUAGUCCACGCCGUAAACGAUGCUAACUCGUUUUUGGGCUUUAGGGUUCAGAGACCAAGCGAAAGUGAUAAGUUAGCCACCUGGGGAGUACGCUCGCAAGAGUGAAACUCAAAGGGAUUGACGGGGGCCCGCACAAGCGGUGGAUUAUGUGGUUUAAUUCGAUGAUACGCGAGGAACCUUACCAAGACUUAAAUGGGAAUUGACAGCUUUAGAAAUAGAGCUUUCUUCGGACAAUUUUCAAGGUGCUGCAUGGUUGUCGUCAGCUCGUGCCGUGAGGUGUUAGGUUAAGUCCUGCAACGAGCGCAACCCCUGUCACUAGUUGCCAUCAUUCAGUUGGGGACUCUAGCGAGACUGCCUACGCAAGUAGAGAGGAAGGUGGGGAUGACGUCAAAUCAUCACGGCCCUUACGUCUUGGGCCACACACGUAAUACAAUGGCCGGUACAGAGGGCAGCUACACAGCGAUGUGAUGCAAAUCUCGAAAGCCGGUCUCAGUUCGGAUUGGAGUCUGCAACUCGACUCUAUGAAGCUGGAAUCGCUAGUAAUCGCGCAUCAGCCAUGGCGCGGUGAAUACGUUCCCGGGCCU
RNAcentral lists this ribosomal RNA (1345 nucleotides) under uncultured bacterium. RNAcentral describes it as "bacterial SSU rRNA". It matches the Rfam family "Bacterial small subunit ribosomal RNA", at positions 28 to 1381 of the family's 1533-position model. The record is from RNAcentral.